RNAcentral lists this ribosomal RNA (505 nucleotides) under uncultured bacterium. RNAcentral describes it as "bacterial SSU rRNA". It matches the Rfam family "Bacterial small subunit ribosomal RNA", at positions 501 to 1008 of the family's 1533-position model. The record is from RNAcentral.
CUACGUGCCAGCAGCCGCGGUAAUACGGAAGGUCCAGGCGUUAUCCGGAUUUAUUGGGUUUAAAGGGAGCGUAGGCUGGAGAUUAAGUGUGUUGUGAAAUGUAGACGCUCAACGUCUGAAUUGCAGCGCAUACUGGUUUCCUUGAGUACGCACAACGUUGGCGGAAUUCGUCGUGUAGCGGUGAAAUGCUUAGAUAUGACGAAGAGCUCCGAUUGCGAAGGCAGCUGACGGGAGCGCAACUGACGCUGAAGCUCGAAGGUGCGGGUAUCGAACAGGAUUAGAUACCCUGGUAGUCCGCACAGUAAACGAUGGAUGCCCGCUGUUGGUACCUGGUAUCAGCGGCUAAGCGAAAGCAUUAAGCAUCCCACCUGGGGAGUACGCCGGCAACGGUGAAACUCAAAGGAAUUGACGGGGGCCCGCACAAGCGGAGGAACAUGUGGUUUAAUUCGAUGAUACGCGAGGAACCUUACCCGGGCUUGAAUUGCAGAGGAAGGAUUUAGAGAUA